This 447-nucleotide ribosomal RNA is filed under the name uncultured bacterium. Its description in RNAcentral is "partial 16S ribosomal RNA". It matches the Rfam family "Bacterial small subunit ribosomal RNA", at positions 29 to 523 of the family's 1533-position model. The record is from RNAcentral.
AGCGAACGCUGGCGGCAGGCUUAACACAUGCAAGUCGAACGCCCCGCAAGGGGAGUGGCAGACGGGUGAGUAACACGUGGGAACGUACCCUUUGGUUCGGAAUAACUUGGGGAAACUCAAGCUAAUACCGGAUAAGCCCUUAUGGGGAAAGGUUUACUGCCGAAGGAUCGGCCCGCGUCUGAUUAGCUAGUUGGUGAGGUAAUGGCUCACCAAGGCGACGAUCAGUAGCUGGCCUGAGAGGAUGAUCAGCCACACUGGGACUGAGACACGGCCUAGACUCCUACGGGAGGCAGCAGUGGGGAAUAUUGGACAAUGGGGGCAACCCUGAUCCAGCCAUGCCGCGUGAGUGAUGAAGGCCUUAGGGUUGUAAAGCUCUUUUACCCGGGACGAUAAUGACUGUACCGGGAGAAUAAGCCCCGGCUAACUUCGUGCCAGCCGCCGCAGUAA